GAUGAACGCUGGCGGCGUGCCUAAUACAUGCAAGUCGAGCGAACAGACGAGGAGCUUGCUCCUCUGACGUUAGCGGCGGACGGGUGAGUCACACGUGGAUAACCUACCUAUAAGACUGGGAUAACUUCGGGAAACCGGAGCUAAUACCGGAUAAUAUAUUGACCCGCAUGGUUCAAUAGUGAAAGACGGUUUUGCUGUCACUUAUAGAUGGAUCCGCGCCGCAUUAGCUAGUUGGUAAGGUAACGGCUUACCAAGGCAACGAUGCGUAGCCGACCUGAGAGGGUGAUCGGCCACAUGGGAACUGAGACACGGUCCAGACGACUACGGGAGGGAGCAGUAGGGAAUCUUCCGCAAUGGGCGGAAGCCUUACGGAGCAACGCCGCGUGAGUUAUGAAGGUCUCCGGAUCGUAAAGCUCUGUUAUGAGUGAAGAACAAAUGUGUAAGUAACUAUGCACGUCGUGACGGUACCUAAUCAGAAAGCCACGGCUAACUACGUG
This 497-nucleotide ribosomal RNA is filed under the name uncultured bacterium. Its description in RNAcentral is "partial 16S ribosomal RNA". It matches the Rfam family "Bacterial small subunit ribosomal RNA", at positions 28 to 507 of the family's 1533-position model. The record is from RNAcentral.